UGGGGAAUAUUGCACAAUGGGCGAAAGCCUGAUGCAGCAACGCCGCGUGAGGGACGACGGCCUUCGGGUUGUAAACCUCUUUUAGCAAGGAAGAAGCGAAAGUGACGGUACUUGCAGAAAAAAGCGCCGGCUAACUACGUGCCAGCAGCCGCGGUAAUACGUAGGGCGCAAGCGUUAUCCGGAAUUAUUGGGCGUAAAGAGCUCGUAGGCGGUUUGUCGCGUCUGCUGUGAAAACCCGAGGCUCAACCUCGGGCCUGCAGUGGGUACGGGCAGACUAGAGUGCGGUAGGGGAGAUUGGAGCUCCUGGUGUAGCGGUGGAAUGCGCAGAUAUCAGGAAGAACACCGAUGGCGAAGGCAGAUCUCUGGGCCGUAACUGACGCUGAGGAGCGAAAAGGGUGGGGAGCAAAACAGGCUUAGAUACCCUGGUAGUCCACCCCGUAAACGUUGGGAACUAGUUGUGGGGUCCAUUCCACGGAUUCCGUGACGCAGCUAACGCAUUAAGUUCCCCGCCUGGGGAGUACGGCCGCAAGGCUAAAACUCAAAUGAAUUGACGGGGUCAUAGCUGUUUCCU
RNAcentral lists this ribosomal RNA (571 nucleotides) under uncultured bacterium. Its description in RNAcentral is "partial 16S ribosomal RNA". It matches the Rfam family "Bacterial small subunit ribosomal RNA", at positions 355 to 1375 of the family's 1533-position model. The record is from RNAcentral.